CGUCGCAGCCCCGGAUUACGCCCUCCCUAGUCGCCCCGGAUCCUCGCCGCGUGGAUUUCUAUCCGGGUGCGUCAUCCUCAUCGCCGUGGUGGUCGUGGUCCUCCGCCGCCGCUCCCCGUCCCCGGUCCCCGUCCGCAUCUCCGCUCCGUCCCGGUGCGCCGCCUCUCCCCAUCCCUGGCUGCUGUACGCGCCACCGCUGCUCUGUCCCCGGCCACCGCGCCGUCCGCGCACCGCCACGCCAUCCCUGGCCGCCGCGCUGUCUCUGGGCGCGGCGCCGUCCCCGGCCGCGACGCCGCCCGCAGGCUGCCGCCGCGUCGUUUACGCGCCACCGCCGCCGUGCCAUCCACUCCGCCGCGGACGACACCGGCACGCUCACCGUCUUCACCAACGAGAAAGGCGGCGCCAUCGACGAUUCCAUCAUCACCAAGGUCACUGACCAGCACAUAUACCUCGUCGUCAACGCCGGCGGCAGGGACAAGGACCUCGUCCACAUCGAGGCGACAUGGAGGUCUUCAACAAGAAGGGCGGAUAUGUCAAGUGGCACAUCCACGAUGAGCGCACGCUGCUCGCAUUGCAGGAGCAGGACCUCGAUGGAAAUAAGGUUGUCAAAGAAGUGAUUUUUGGCCCAGGGGAGAAAAUGUAUCGUUACUGCAAGCACAUCUGAAAGCAACGCCUCCCAAACCUGUCUAACAACCUAAUGAAGAAGAGAAAACAUUUCAUAUCGAUACGCAGCCCUCUAAAUGUACUGGUAUCUAUCACUUUUUUUUUGUCUAGCAUCACAUGCAGCUUGCCAUAUUCUUCGGUUGCACAGUUUCUAUUUUUUGUAGCACAUCCGCAGAAAGGAAACCCAUUAUGCUUUCCAAAUUAUUUUGCUUUAGCAGAGUUUGCAUAUUUUAUAGUGUACCUAAUACCUCCUGGCUACCACUAAUAACACUUGAUUCCAUAUACCCAGACAUCUAAAUAAAGUCAUUUCACCAUCCUUCUUGGAGCUUGGUAUAGGCGAGCUUGUCUCAAUAUACAGUGAAUUAUGUGAAAUUGGGAAGGCACCUCCUGUGAUAGAUGCAGAUGACCUGCAACAAGAACCUGAGGACCUGCUGGACCACCCGAGGGGAAACUGCGGCAGGGUGCUCGGAAGCAGCGCACGCUUAUCGACGAUUUCAUCCCCACCAUUGAGGGCAAGAAUGCCAUACACUACCCACAUCCGAAGAGGCUUCUUGGUAUUUAGUCCGGCCACGAUUUAUUUACCUGAUGAUGCCUCUUGCUAGGAAAAUUCAGCAAUCAAACAAUGAUGCAAACAGUCAGGUGAAAUUAUACAUAUAGAGAUGGGAAAAUAACAAAUAAGUGUUUCUUCAUAUGCGGUCCUUCUUAUAUGCAUGUUAGUUGCAUGCUUGAAUUGCAUGAGCAAGCAAAUUCAAUAUGCAAAUAAGUCGCAACAUUUGCAAAAAAGUGUGGCGGCUUGAUGCUAAUCUAUGUUCGAAAUAAAUUUAUUAUUUUGUCCUCUAAACUGUAUAUGAGACAUGUCAUACAAAUCGAGGACAGUAGCUUCAUAUUAUUCUAAAAUGCACAAAUUCUAUUGGUUAAGUAUACCUGAACUUAAUUCCUAUUGCUAUCUUUAAGGGAUCAAUUAUGGUUAUUGCUAUCUGCAUGUUUGGGCAACCUCGAGUGCUCUGAAAAUAGUCAUCUAUCAGACAUCCUCCACUAGAAUUACUCACUGGAUUAAUUAUAAUUUUCAAUCAGAUGGACAUCAUUAUAGUACCAAUACUCUUUAUUCUUAGAAUUUAGUAUGCUAUCAUUUCAGGUUCACCUGGUUCAGUAUUAUAUUUUCAGGUUCAGGAACAAAGUAAGGAUUCUAAUUGGUAACUUUUGUGGUGCGUAUGGCGACCUCCGGUCACCAAGAGUAAUCAUUCAAGGGGUUCAUUGUCUCCUCUAAACGGAUCAUGGUAUGGUCAUAAGAGAUUAAGAGUACAAUCUGGUCUGGCACCAUUGGUUGAAGAAGAAAAUGUAUUUACCACUUGGUGAUGUGACAAACUCAACAAACCUCGGAAAUUUUGGAGCAAAAUGAUGCAAGGUGAUGUAUUCUUGCGCGUUUUUGGCAUCCACUAGGAGAUGGAACAUUCAUCGAACUGGAGCAGGUGUGGAUAGGCGCACGGAAGAUCUCGACACUGAUGUAGACACACUUAAGUACUUAACAGAGCAUGCACAAUAUCUUUAGUUGGCUUAUAAAGAAAACUUUUUGUUUCUGCCACAAUGAAAAGUAUAGAUCAUUAAUUUGUCCAUGAUCGAAAAUAGAUAAUAUAUGUUAUGACAUGUUUUUUAGUGUAGAAAAACAAUUGAUGAUUAUAGUAUAGCAUCAUCCAGUAUAUUGCAUUUCAGGUAUCUGAUAA
Long non-coding RNA from Panicum virgatum (switchgrass), 2384 nucleotides. RefSeq lists it as uncharacterized. The record is from RefSeq and is a predicted model, not a curated record. Lineage: Eukaryota; Viridiplantae; Streptophyta; Magnoliopsida; Poales; Poaceae. The transcript has 6 exons.